RNAcentral lists this ribosomal RNA (460 nucleotides) under uncultured bacterium. Its description in RNAcentral is "partial 16S ribosomal RNA". It matches the Rfam family "Bacterial small subunit ribosomal RNA", at positions 338 to 795 of the family's 1533-position model. The record is from RNAcentral.
CCUACGGGAGGCAGCAGUGAGGAAUAUUGGUCAAUGGCCGGAAGGCUGAACCAGCCAUGCCGCUUGCACUUCCUUUCCCUCUUUUCUUUCCCCUUCUUUUUUUCUUUCUCCCUCCUUUUCACUUGUUGCCAGACGAGAGUACCGUACGAAUAAGCAUCGGCUAACUCCGUGCCAGCAGCCUCGGUAAUACGUUUUAUGCAAUCGUUAUCCGGAUUUAUUGGGUUUAAAGGGUGCGUAGGCUGUGAGGUAAGUCAGCGGUGAAAUGCCCCCGCUCAACGGGGUGAAGUGCCAUUGAUCCUGCCUUGCUGGAAUGCGGAUGCCGUGGGAGGAAUGUGUGGUGUAGCGGUGAAAUGCAUAGAUAUCACAAAGAACACCGAUUGCGAAGGCAUCACACGAAUCCGCGAUUGACGCUGAUGCACGAAAGCGUGGGUAUCAAACAGGAGUAGAGAAAAGAGUAGUC